AACGUACAAGUGAAAGUAAUGAUUAUGUGGGAAUCGAUCAAUCCUACAACCGAUGAACUAAUCAGCCUAGAUAUGAUUUUCAUGGAUGAAGAGGGCCAAACAAUUCAUGCUUUUAUCUAGAAGAACCUAAUAGACACUUUUAGAUCAAAAAUUAAAGAGCAGUCUAUUUACGCUUUCAACAAUUUGAAGGUUGUGGAAUCUAUGAAGUGUCGUCCAACGAGCAAUGAAAAUAAAAUAUUUUUUGCAUACAACACAAAGGUAAAGGAGGUUAAAGGAUCUGCAGAGGUUUUCCCAGAUUUUUACUUCAGUUUCACAACCAAGGAGACACUACAAGAACGGGCAGAAAAAGAUAUACAAUGCGCAGAUGUCGUUGGAUUGCUCACGCAGAUGAAGCCUGUGGAAAAAGACUUAUUUUUCGAUUCAAGCUCAAUGAUAGUAACAUCAGCUUUGGCACACAAAAUUAGUUAAUAGAACAUUUGUGCCUGAUGAUCGGCUCGAGAAACUCUACUUGAAUGAUAAAGACGAGGAGGAAUUGAUGGAUGAUGAAGUGGGCACCGUGUUAAAACAUGAAAUGAAGAAGCAGAACAUGCUUGACAAAAAGUCACAGAACAAUAAAGUUUCAGCUACAAAUUUAUCAUGUGAAUUGGUUCCUGUUAAAGUGGAACCAGUCAAUAGUAAUGGAACUUCAAUAAUGAAAGAUGGGCGUCAGGGAAAAAAUACCAUCAUCGUCAC
Molecule: long non-coding RNA, 732 nt
Organism: Triticum aestivum (bread wheat)
Lineage: Eukaryota; Viridiplantae; Streptophyta; Magnoliopsida; Poales; Poaceae
Exons: 5
Source: RefSeq, a predicted model, not a curated record